GGUGGGUAUAGCUCAGUGGUAGAGCCCAUGCUUAGCAUGUAUGAGGUCCUGGGUUCAAUCCCCAGUACCUCCA
RNAcentral lists this transfer RNA (73 nucleotides) under Vicugna pacos (alpaca). RNAcentral's name for it is "tRNA-Ala (AGC) (tRNA-Ala-AGC-331-1)". It matches the Rfam family "tRNA". Rfam says of the family: Transfer RNA (tRNA) molecules are approximately 80 nucleotides in length. Their secondary structure includes four short double-helical elements and three loops (D, anti-codon, and T loops). Lineage: Eukaryota; Metazoa; Chordata; Mammalia; Artiodactyla; Camelidae. The record is from RNAcentral.